GGUAUAUGACCUCCUUCGGGAAAUUAUAAAACCAAAUUUAAAGAACGAUCAUACUUUAUGUCCUAAGUUCGCAAAAACGUCUGGUGUUAUGUUAAGAUCAAAUGACAACUUUUGGAAGGAUCAUACGCACCGCUUCCGAUUUCAGCUACGUGAAGCUUGAGUCCUCUUACUUCCACAUGUUUGUGCUCGAUAUUUUCCAUUACUGAGACAGAUGGAGAGAGAGAGAGUAUGGACUCUUGAGUGAGAGGAGAAAAUUAAUCGAGAGAGAGAGAGAGGGAAUAUUAAGUAGUUAGAUGAUGAGCAUUGUUGGUCAACUGCUUCUUGUCUUCACGUUGACACUUAUCCGGACCUUUUUGUGAGGAUCUGUCGGCCAAUGCAUCUUGGCCGUUGAUGUAGAUCGGCGGCCAAAUUUUAUCUUUAUUUUUUUAACUUGCAACCUGCUCUGUCUCUUCUUCUCUCCCUUCUCCCGGAUGAAAAUUUGAAGUAACAGUCACAUAAAAUUAUGACUACACGAAGUGGGCAUGGGAAAAGUUUUCUUCAUUUAUUCCAGAAAUAAAAAUUUGGCAAUUGUCAUGAGGGAAGAACAAAACUUUAUUUCUUUAUAAAUUAAAAAGUAAAAAUUUGAGAGAACCAGAAACAAUUGGGCACAUUGGAUUGCACCAUCAAAUGGGAACUCAAAACGAGCAAGAGGUAGCAAUGGCGACGGCAGUGGGUGGUACAAUGGGAGGCACUAGUCGUAAAGUAGAAGCCGCUGGGUGGUAUAAAUUCGAGCCCCAACGAGCAUUUACAGGUGAGCACGGUCCGAUUUCAUCCUCAAAUUGGAAUAAAAAAAUAUCAAAGGUUUGGUUCGGUGCGGUUUUACUUAAAUUUAUUAUUAAAACCGUACGGUUUGGUUUACGCCGAUUCAGAUUCAGUUUAUGCCGGUUUACGAUUCUAACCAAACACAUAUUUCAACACAAAUUCAAGCAAAUUUGAGUUCUCACUACUAUAUUUACUAGAAUUGUGACCCGAAGAUAGAAAGUUUACAUAUAAAUAUAAAUCAAAAGAUAAAAAGCUUCCUAUGACCAAAGUGUACAUCCUGGAAUGAAAUUAAAAUGUACAUAAUGCAUAUAGAUAAAUGAGGAAAAUAAGAGAGGAGAGAGAGGGAUGAAAAUUGGAAUGUGAACUGCCGGCUAUGGUGGAAUGGAUGGGUUGAGGUAAUUAUUUUGGGCUUGAAAUUUUUUUAUAUAAAUUUUUCGUUUGGGCUUGGUAUUUAUAUAAAACAAGGGAUAAAGGCAUCUCUCCUUCCGCGAGAGCCCUUCUCUCCUUUUGUGAGAGUUUCCUCCCUUCCUUUUGGUGAGGGUCUUCAUCUUGCUCACCUUUUUUGGCGCCAACUAGACCUGGUAAUUUCUUACACAACACGUAAAUGACACGAAAAUAAUAGGUUUCGGAUCAACAUGAUAACUAAUUGGGUCACACGAUAAUAAUCCUUUAAUAACGGGUCUUUAACAGGUUUACACGAGAGUGACACACGGGUAACCUAUUUCGACACGAUAAGAAAAAAGUUAUUUUGAUGAUUUUAAUUUUUUUAAAACUACUAAAAAAAACUUACUAUAAAAUACAAUAGAUAUAAUGAAUAUGUAUAUAUUGUUCAUUAAUUAUUAUUCUAUAUAAAUUUUAAAAUUUAAGUUUUAUUUAUUUAUUUAUUUUUAUAAUAUAUUAUAGGCAAAGAUUCUGAUUAAAAAUCAUAAAACACAUUAAAAAUAAAAAUAUCACGUAAUUUAAAAAUACCAAACACAUUAAAAAAUUAUAAUAAUUCAUUUACAUGUGCAAAAAAUAUGAAAAAAUAUGCAAACGCUCGUAGUCACAUCCUCUACAUUUUAAGGAUGUGUAUAUGAUCGUUUGAAAUUUUAAAACCAUAAAAACUCUCAUGAAUAGUAUUUUUAAGGGAGUUCAAAAUAAACAAAAUUCAUAAUCAUUAAUGUAUAAGUCUGAAAGAUGUGAAAGCAUAAUUUACGUUCAUAAUUGCAUCCUCAACGCUUAAACGAUGGUUACAUGGUCGUUUAGAUUUUUAAAACUCUCCAAAUCUUAUGAAUAGUGUUUUUUAUUUGAGUGCAAAAUUAAUAAUAAUUAUUGUAGAAGUGUGAAAAAUGUAAUCACUCGUAAUGAAAAGCUUUACAACUUUCAUGAAGAGGUCAACUCCGAAAUUUAGUAUUAUGUUUUACAUUUUGUGGGGUCAAAUUAUGUUUUUCAUUUUCAUUUUUAUUGAUUUAAAAUAUUUUUUUUUAACUGGUAACGGGUUUGAUCAUAUUACCUGAUAAUAUUAACGGGUUGAUUUCGGGUUGAGUCAUAUUACCCGUUUACUUUAACAGGUAUUACACGACACGACUUGUUAAACAUCGGGUAUAAUAGGAAAACAACACGAACACGAGAAACACGACACAAAUGCGAGGUCUAGAGUCGACUCUGGCUUUGGCUGGAGUCGGUUGCCACUCUUCUCUUCCUCCUCCUGUUUUCUCCCCGUAUCCCCUUCUUUGCCUUGUCCUCUUUCUUAUGUUCUUCUUCUUCUUCUUUUCUUUUUGCUUCUCCCAAUGCUUCUUCCUUUUUUCCUGCUCUCCUUUUCCAAUCUGGCCAUUUCUUCCUACCCCCAGCGGCGUUCCUUCUUGCCCCUCUCUGCACCCACUUCCAAACCACGACUUGUUGUUGUUGUGAUAUUUCAAGAUGGUGAAUAGAGUUCUAGUGUUCCCACCGGCUCGGGUGUUCCACACCACCACUUUAUCAUUGUCUCUGCCUUUUCCGGCAGUGUUGUUCGCGGGUUGCCACGAACUUCAUCUUGAUAGUUGGCUUCUUCCAAUCACUUGCUAGCUAUCCUUUCUUUGUGGCUGUGCUCAGGACGUUAAUUGAUGUGCGAUGCUGCAAUUGAUAUGGCGAUGCUUGGCUGUGGACAAGGACUUGGUCGGAUCGAGAACAGCGGCGAAAGUAGUAGAAUUGUCUGGUGUCUGUAACCUCUUUUGUGUGUUUUGGGCUUCAACUACUGGUUGGCCAUUUGUAGUUUGUCUUUUUUGGCCCAUGUUUUGCUUGUUUAUGUGUGAUCUUUGGGCCUUGAGUUUCCUUUUGUGUAUCUUUUAGUUGUAAUAAAUGUGAAGAAGCCUUUUUCCAAAAAAAAAAAAAACAAGGGAUAAAGAAUUACAACAACAACAACAAAGCAUUUUCCCACUAAGUGGGGUCGGCUAUGUGAAUCUUAAAAAGCCAUUGCGCUCGGUUUAAAGGGAUAAAGAAUUAGAUUUUAAAAAAAAAUUAAUAGAGAUGCUCCGGUGCGGUUUCUUCGGUUCUUGAGAAUUAGAAACCAGAAUUGGAACCAUUUUAAACUAGUUCGGUUCAGUUUUGGUCCAAGUUUGAACGGUUUUGGUGAACUUGGUUUUUUAUGAUUUUUUUCAUCUAAUUCGGUUCGGUUUCACAGUUUCUCAAUUUUUAUGCCCACCCCUACAAGCAUCUAAAGGAUGUUCAUAAUUCAGAAGCACUAAAAAUAUAUAUAACAAUGUUUCUGCUUACCUUUCAAAUGUUAAUAUUUUUCAUUGAUGUGAAAUUGCAUACAAAGACAAGUACAGCAAGCAUACUACCAUGAACGAAUUUGAUUCCGAAAAAUCUAAUAGUUGUAGACCAUAAUACAAGUAUCCCAUUGUCAAACCUGUAAACUUAACAAAGAAUACAACUCAAACAUGUAAUGUGCUCCCUCUGGUAGCUAUUUUAUUCGGUUGCAAAGAACCAUCUAUACAAGCGCAAGGUUCUCUUUCGAAAUCUGCAUCCUGCAAAUUCAGACUCACAGUAGUUCCAUCAGUUAUGUGAACACUGCGAUGAAUUACGAAUGAUUAAUCUGUAUCCUUUUCCAAACCAGUUGAAGGAUGGUAAGAUGUGGAAGAUAUAUCUGUUCAUCGAAUGAGCUUUCCCGAACAAUCAUCCUUUCUGCACAAGGUGCUCGACAUCUCCUAGUUCCACUUGACCUCCUUUCUGAUCAUGUUCAGUUUGAAAAAGCGACUCAAUCUGCUCCAAUGACUUUCCUUUGGUUUCUGGAACACAGGUGUGGACAAAUACGACAGAAAGAGCAGCGACUGCAGAAAAGAUAAAGAAUGUUCCACCAAAUGAAAUUGCAUUGGAAACUGAGAGAAAAGACAUGGCAACCAGGCCACUGGACACCCUAUUACCCACUCCUCCGAGUGCUGCUGCUUGCGCACGCACCCUUAGAGGGAAGAUUUCAGAUGUCAAAACCCAGCAAACAGGUCCAAUUCCAACAGAGAAGAAGGCUACAUUUCCGCAUACGGAUAAAAUUGCCAUUGCAACGCCAAACUGUCCUUUCCCAAGAAAAGAGAGAGUAAAUCCUAAACUGAAUAAACAAAUCGUCAUUCCAAUCGUGCUGACAUAGAGCAAGGGCUUUCUUCCGAGCUUGUCUAUAAGAAGAAUAGCGACCAUUAUAAAAACAGUCUUUGUGACACCCACUGCAACAGUUGCAGCAAGUACAUUUUGUUUAUUUUUUAUUCCUGCUUCUUGGAAGAUUUCGGGGCUGUAGUACACAGUCGCAUCUAUUCCUGUUAUCUGUUGAAAACAUUGAAUUCCAAAACCUGUGAUAAGCAUCCGACGAAGUGAAGGAGAUGGAUUCAUUAGUUCACUCGUCACGCUUUUCUCCUCAUACUUCCCCGCACUAGAAUUGUCAGCGGCUGCUAGUAUUUCAUUUAGUCUGUCCUCCACCUCACUUUCUUUCUCAUUUGUUUUCAUCAACACUGAUCUUGCCUCGUCAACACGGUUCUGAAGGACCAACCACCUUGGAGACUCGGGGAUUACGAAAAGUGCAAAACCAAUGAAAAUUGAAGGCGUAAUUCCUACUGCAAGCAUUAUCCUCCAGUUUAUAUGUGCCGGAAGACCAGAAAAUGCAUAGUUUGAGACGUAGCCGAGUAAAAUUCCCAGAUUUAUAAAUAUUUCUGGGAAUGAGGUGAGUGAGCCUCUGUCAAUGGUGGGUGAUAUCUCAGCGAUAUAAACAGGGGCAAUCAUGACACCAAAGCCAAUUCCAACGCCCGCAAAGAGUCUUCCAAUCAUCAAUAUUUCAAAUGAAGGAGCAAGGGUCAUUGUAGCUGCACCUGCUUGAAAGACAACAGCAGCCAAGGCCAUGGUCCACUUCCUACCAAUGAUAUCUGAUGUUUUACCGCCGGCUAAACUACCGAAAAGCGAAACAAUGCUCAAAAUCCCAACAAGAACUUCUUCUUGUACCUCGGUUAUCUUUAAAUCUUCCUGAAUGAAUAUGAUAGCUCCACUCAUGACACCUACAUCUGCCGAUUCAAACAAAAAAUAUAAUUAAACACAUAUCUUCAGAAUCACCUUAUUCGAACAAUUUAAAAAUUAGGGUACUUGCGAACUGUUAUAAACAUCAUCAUUUUUGUUUACUAAUCUGUUGCAAGGAGGAGUUACAAGAUUGAUGAAGUUAGGAAGCGGUUGCCUUGUGGUGAAUGGAAACUUAUUAGACCCGAAAAUUUUAAUAGGGACUACCAGCAAAUAAAUCACAUAGCACUACCAGCAAGCUUAGGAAUUAUUCAUAAAAGGGAACAGUAGAUUCUUAAAGCAAUUAGGCACUACAGUUAACCAAACAAAGCAGAUCAUACAGAACGUACAUGCCAAUUAACAACGUCCACCGACAGCAGCAACUUCCUAUAACAAUACCAGACAGAGCUCACCUCUCUCCGCACAAGUUCGAAUUCUCCUCCCCGUAGUUUAGAUUAAGUAAUUAGAAUAUCGCUCGAAUAGAUAAACAAACACACAGAGCAGACAUUAUCGCACGCACGAACAGAUGUACAUACACAAAUACAUAAUUACAUACAAAAAUACACACAUUUCUAUAGAUACAUGUAUAGAUACACAUCCAUACAUAAAAGGUAAAGCAUGUAGUUACCAUAGCCAAGAAGAACAGAGUUGAGAGAGGCAAAAAUGGCGCAGGCGAGGACAUAUUUCCUGGUUUUUUUGCUCCUGAUUUGUUGAAGGUGGUGGCGAGAAGCACCAUCCUCGUUUUCCUCUGUGAGCUCGACCUCGGGCUCAGAAUCCAUCCUCUUGUACUUGUUCUUGGUUCCCAAUGGAAUCCCAGACAUACCCAUUUCUCCAUUUCCAAUUUCUGGAACACCCACCAAUCCCAUCUCGAUUUUCUUUCUGAAUCUCUCUGUUUCUGAACAGAAAACUCAACGAACAGAGCACAAGUCAGAUGUUUUUUGGGGGUUUGGUUUGGUUUGGUUUGGUUUCCGUUUGACUGCCCAAUACUUGGAGACUAGAGGAAGAGAUCCAUGGGAUUGGCUUGAGUUUUAGAUCUGAAACAAAAAUUAAUUAAUUAAUUUAUGAUAAAUAGAAAAAUAAAAAUUGAGACGCGGGCAAAGGUGGGACCUUUCUUUUUGCAAUGCAAGAAAGAAAACCCACUUGCGGCAAUUUUACAUGUGCGACCGAUUUACCGUCACAAGACCUCGACCUCUCACUUAAUCAGGCUCAGCUGCUCAAAUGGCGCUUUCCAGGUGACAGCUGUGCAGAUUGUCUGUAAAAUAUUAGAUAUUUUUGCGCUCUCAUUUCUAAUACAAUGUGGAAAGGGAUUUCUCGUUGUUUCGUUCAUUCUCAAAUAUACAACGUGUAGUGAGUAUGUAAAUUACAUAUAAUGAAAUUAAUCCAAACAAUGAAUCUAAUCUAGAAGAGCGAUCUCAUUAAUAUGGUCGUUGGUUCUCAUAAGAGCAAGUUGUAUAAAACAAUUUUACAAUCACCUGACAAUAUAUUAUUAGAUCAGAAUGUCACGUGGUGACGAAAUUAUAUAUUAAGUACUCGUGUCAUUGUUCUAAGGUUCUGUACAAGUCUCAUUUGUAUUAAAGCGAUGUUAUCCACACGUUUAUUUUUACAUCCCUCGAACUCUGUGAAUUUAUGUCAUUUGAUCUUUUUCAAUUCAUUCGAGUGAAAUUUGAGAAAAAUGUGUAAAUAGCACCACCUUUAUUUUAUAUUUUACCUCACGUGUUUGAAAUUAUUUAAUAUUUUGGUUUAAUAUUUCCCUUAUUUUGGGAAAGAAUAGUUAUGUGCUUGCAUGCAAGGUUGUGUUGAAAAAAAAAAAGAAGAAAAAAGGUUGCGCCCCAAAUAAAAUGGUAAGUUUGUCAAAGGACUAAUUGGAGGAGAAAAGUUUGUGGGAGAGGAGUCAAAUGGAGAAUGAGUCAAAAGUGAAGGUGCAAAGACAAUUCCUUUGUGUGGUCUCUCAUAAAUUGGAUCUUCCAAUUUUUUUUCUUUCUUUGUGACACAUCUAGAAGACAAGCACCACCAUAACAGACAAGACAACAUUCAUACCCAAUAAAAUGAAAAGACAAUGUAAUAUUCUUAGUUUGCACUAAUUAUUAAGUGGCUUAGUGGCAUGCACCUCUUUUGGGUAAAGAUUUCAUUUUCUUAUCCAACAAGUUAAAUUUAAUUUAAAACUUAUUACAAUUGAAAAUUUUACAAAACCAAAUACAAAGUCGAGAAUAUUAAUUAAUCAUCUGCCACCAUAUAAUCUACUAUCACCAAUUGAGGGAGAUUUUCAUUGAUUGGCGUAAACACGAGCCAACUAAUGCCCAACCAUGUUAGAACGUAUCAGAACUCUACAAAUACAAGUUUUGAAGAGAUAAAGGACCCCGAUCAAGUACGUAAAUUGUCACUCUAUAUUAUGUUCGAUUCUUAUCCAAGCACAAUGUAAUCCUAUCUAGAUUUUUUUUACGCAAUUACCUUCCCACUCUUGUAUUUCAUUUUUUCUUUGCAUUACACAAUUUCAAUUUACGCAUGGUAUUUUUAUUCUCUUGAUUCACGUACUCGCAUUACAAUCGUUUGAUUAGAAUCAAAGCCUAAACAAAAAUCACACAUAUCUUGUCUACGUCGCGGGUCGACCAAUCUAGACCAAAGCUAGAGCAUGUACGCAAAAUAAAAAGUCAGAAAAUCCUUCAAGGCCGCCAAAUCCGAACGGAUGGAGGGAAACAAUCUGAUCUCUAGAUUAGCCAUAGGUUAAUAUUUAAAUUCUUUAUUAACCUUUCUUUUUCUCCUUCUUUUUUUUUUUGGUUUAACUUUAUUAACCUUAGUUGAGGAGAAGACAGGUGUUAAAAAAUAGGGUGUGUGGUAGCAAAGGUCCCUGAACUUUACCUCAUGUUUAGUUUUCGUCCCUGAACUCUUAUAUUAGUUUCUCAUGUCCUCCAACUUAACUCCGUGUUGCACAAUUGGUCAUUCUGUCAAAUAUGUUAUAUUUUCGUCCCUGAACUCUUAUAUUAGUUUCUCGUGUCCUCCUGUCAAAUAUGUUAUAUUUUCUGUUAAAUUUAAGGGUAUAAUGGUCUUUUUAAGUUAUGAAUUCUAAGAUUCCCAAUAUGUGAAUUAUAUACCUUUCUAGAUUAAUUUUCCCGCCAAAAAAAAGCUUAUUAUGAUAUGCUUUUGCCCCCAAAAAAAAAGUCCAAUUGUGACAUGCAAUUUUCCUAUUUAAUCCAAUUGUUUAUCAUAUGAGUUAACAACGUAGUGUUGCCUUAAAGAGUCAUCUUUUAGUGAUGUAUAAACUAGUUGUUUAUCUUAUACAAUUUUUUGGCAUAACUCAAGAGUUAUCUAAGUUUAAUAAUAAUAAUAAUAAUAAUAAUAGAUUAAUACUAAAACAACAAAGUGUGCUAAAGAUCACCGAAAGUAUCAAUAACAUAACAACUUCAUCAAAAGUACCAACAUUACCAAAAUAAAAAUACCAGCCUUACCAAAAUACAAAGUUCACUACACAAAAUACGUACCGAUUCUACAACCACAUAAAAGAUGAUUUAUGCUACAAAAAGGAAGUUCCAAAAACAACAUCAGUGAUCCCAUUGAUCAUGCCCAAUUUUUAUCCCCAGCAUGAUUUCCGUUGUUUUUUUUCUUAAAAACGUGGUUGUGAUUAUGAUGUCCUUGCUCCAUUUCCUUUUGCAAUUGAUGAUGAGAUCUCUUUGUCUUUCUCAGUUGAAACCUAGACAUCAUAUGCAUCAUAUACAUUACGAAUCCUUCUAUAGUCACCAAUACAUCCCAAAUCAUUUUAGAAGCACACUUACUGAUUUUUGUGUUGCUUGUUUGCCCUUUCCUUUUGUUAUACCACAACCUUUUGGUUUCCCUAUCCCUGUAGAAGGGUUUGGCCCAUUGAUUUGAUGAAAGUGAUCACUAUAACCCUACACAAAGCAAAUAAAGUAAAAAUAUUAGAAAUAGUGCUUCACAAAGCAAAAGAAAUUAAAGAAGCAAUUGUAUAUACCUGAGCUCCCUCUUGGAUGUUAGAAGAGCUAUUUUCCCCUUCUUUUUUAUGACUUAACCUAUUAUGUCCUCAUUGGCCACAAAUUCCACACUUUACCUUUACAAAUAUUCUUUUUAGAUUUGCAGGAGGUGGAAUAUAAUCUGGUGGGAUGGGGUUUGGAGGGGGUGGAGCAGGUGCUUGAACCUCACCUACCUCUUUAGUUCUUGACAUUUUUGGCCUUCUAGGUUGCUUCUUGUAUGGAGGAGGGCUAAUUGCAGGCAAACCAAUUUUCUUCCACUGAUCCAUAGAUGGAACCGGGUGAACAAUGGGAUCAUAUGAAAUCAAGUAAGCCUCUUGCUUAUAGCAAUCAUGUGUAUAGUCACACACAUUUUCAUCCGUAGAAAAAAUGCAAGAAAUAGCAUGGGGGCAUGGGAUCCCACACAAAUCCCAUCUUCUGCAAGAGCAUGUUUUUUCUUUUAGAUCCACAACAAACUCAGCCCCAUACAUAUGUUGUACUAAGAACUUCUUGUCCCCAGCCAUUAUAGGAAUGCAUUGACUAGCUCCUAACUUGUUCUUCUCAAUGAUUUUGAAGAUCCUAGGUCCAAUCGGAUGCUUCCAAUGCCUAGCUGCAAUUCUUCUAUUAGCCAUCCUUAACAUGAUAUAUACCAUAAUUCUCUCAAGGCAUGUUAAUAUUGCCUUGUCUCUUGCAUCUAGAAUGCGAGAGUUAAACGAUUCACAUAGGUUAUUCAACAAAAUAUCACACUUGAAGUGCAAUGCAAAAUAAGCUCUACUCUAAUUUUGUGGAGGCCUUUUCUGAAUCCAAAUCCAAGCUUUUUCAUCCUGUUGUUUCAUCUUUUCCAUCUCUACAUCAAACCAUGGAAUAGUAUUGGAUGUUGCUAAGGCCCACAAUGUAUUCUUCAAUGCAAGUCCCGGGUGCGAUGCUUUAAAGUUGUUAUAUAGAUGUCUCCAACACAUUCUAUGCUCAGUUGUUGGAAGGACACUCUGAAUGGCAGGAAUGAGUCAUUUUUGCUUGUCACUUAUAAACACCCAAGCUGCCCCAUUCUUAAUAUUUAAAUCAGCUUUCAAAAGUUCAAGGAACCAAAUCCAUGAACUCUUAUUUUCAAUUUCCACUAUAGCAUAAGCAAUUGGAAACAUACCAUUAUUCCUAUCAACUCCAACAGCAGUUAAAAUUUGACCCGUGUAUGGUCCUUUCAAGUGGCAACCAUCCACACCAAUCACAGGUCUACACCCCUCCAAAAAACCUUUCUUACAAGCUUCUAAGCACACGUACAUUCUACGGAAAACUGGUUGAUCGCCCUCUAUCUUAUUGCUUAUAACCAUUGUGCUUCCUUUAUUAGCCACCUUUAGUUGUUCUGCAUAGUCCCAUAACCUAGCAUAUUGUUCUUUAUAGCUACCUUCAAUAAUCAGCUUGGACAACCUCUUUGCUCUGUAUAUUUGAUGCCUGCUAACAUUCAUACGGUACUGAUUUAAUACCUCCGACUUAAAUGCUCCGACAUUCCAGUGAGGAUUUUUCUUGAUCUUGUCAGCAAACUUUUCAACUAGCCACUUUGAAUUAGCAAACUUUAGCUUACCAACUCUCCCACAAUGAUGAUCUAAGCAAAGAGUCUUGAUUGCAAAAGUGGGCUCAUCUGAAUCUAUGAUGGAAGCAAAUAUAGUGAACGGGCACUUCGUUUUCUUAUUUCCAACACACUUUGCUCUCACCCUAAUUUUAUCAUCUUUUACAAAUUUGACUUCUCGUCCGUUGAUAAUAGCCCACUCCUUUAUAGCUUCUUUCACCUCUGCUUUAUUGGCGAAUUGCAUUCCCAAUCGAAAUUCUGGAUUUCUCAAAUCUGUGUCUCUCCCCCACUGUUUAAAACUCGGUAAUUUCCUUUUCCUCUUCUUAGAUAAUUUAUUAAAGUUUUGUUCACCUUCCUCUUCAUCACUACCAGAAUAAGGAAUAUCAAUGUCUUCACCAUCAGAUGAAAUCUCCCCUGUAGCUUCAUUAGGAAGAUGAAAAUCAAGAACUUCAUUUGGAUGAUUAACAUCAAACACUUCAUUUGGUGCAUCCACACCAUUUACCUCUUCAACAUUGAUUGGCUCUUCAUCGUCACUUACCCCAUAAUCACUGUCAACAAAUACUUCAUCCUCUUCUUCAUUUUCACCUUCUUUUUCAUUAUUUUCAUUAUCCUCUUCUGCUUCAUCUUCAUUAUAUUCCUGAAUAUUACCAUGUAUACCAACAGAUGCAGCUUCAUAUGUGUUGACCUUCUUUACUGAAUUGUCGGCAUUGGCUAGGCGAUCAAUAAAAGGCCAAUAUUGGUAACCCUUAAAUUCAUCAGUGCCACCAUUAUAGUUUUCAGAAUCCAAACUUGGCCAUACCUCAAAAGCUUGACUCCCAAUGGUGUUUAGAUCAGUUGGAUCAUGAUAAUACAAUUGAACAAUUCUAUUACCAGGAAUGCAAGCAAUUAGCCCUGGAAUAAAACUAUCAUCUUUCACCUCUAUCAAUGCACUUGCACCAAACUUACCAGGUUUCUUGUAGUACACUAACUUGUAACCUUCUGAGUUAUGUCAACAUUAUAGCCAAGUUCUACACCAAUCUUUUGUAAAUCCACCAAUGACAAAUAGUCAUCAACACAAUUGUCUACAUAACAUACCUUGCCACCUUUAUAAACUCCAUUUUCUACCAACCCAUAAUGGUUAAGUUCAAGAGUACAUAGCUCCAGACCACCUGCCAUAUAUAAUAUACAAUGUGAGGUUGAGCACUCACCAAAAUCAAAUUCUUACAAUAAAUACCCUCACCAAACUCCAAUAUAUGCAUAUUGGGUGUGGUGGACGCUGGAGCAAUGGUGAAAAAUAAAUAGUAAUAAGGCCAACACAUAAAUGCAUUUGACCAAAAAGACAGAGUACCACCAUACAUAUAAAGCCAAAGUGAAUAACAGAAUACAUAUUUAGACAAAAACAAUCCAAACGAAAUUCAUGAAAUAUAAAAUUAAACAAUGAAGGAAAGACUUACUGUAUUGUGGAUGCUCUCCAGACCACCGAAACGUUGUCGCCAUGUGAAUAAUUAAUCAUGAAAGUGCAUUCCCAGCCAAUAAUAGUGAAUUUCCUUUUCAAAUUUCUCAAACCCUAGAACUGAGCUCUCAAUCUCCUGUUGAACUCUUCCCCAAAACUUUUGAGUUCUCCAUCCUAUAGCACGUGAGAUUCCUUUGGGCCAACAAAAUGUCAUAUUUGCCCACCACAAAAAGGUCACGUGCAAGGCAUGUGAUCAUAUUUAACAGAAAAUGUAACAAACUUGACUGAAAUGACGAUUCGUGCAACACAAACUUAAGUUGGAGAACGAGAGAAACUAAUAUAAGAGUUGAGGGAUGAAAACUAAACUUAUAGUAUAGUUCAGGGACCUUUUCUAUUAUUUACCCUAAAAAAUAAAUAUGAUUAUUUACCGAAAUAUAAAAAAUUAUUUAUUGAACUGAACCAACCUUUCUCAAAAUCUCGGCCCAUCGGACCUGAACCCGCUUGCCCGCCCAUAUUUGACGGACUCGGCAUCAAAUUUGACCCAUAUUCAUAUUCUUCCAACUUCUCGCAAAUCGUAAUCGUCUCUCGCACUCACACAUAGGAUCACACAUCGAUCUCGCCAUGGUGUUCAUCACAUCCCCAAAUCACAAAACCCUAACCCUAAAUCUAAACCCUAAGACCACCACCCUCAAAACCUUAAAGCUCCAAAUCGAGCAAAAUUCUCACAUACCCAUUUCUCAGCAGCGCCUAUUCAUCUCCCAAAGCCUCCAGUUACUCACCCAAUCCGACUCCUCCCUCCUCUCCGACCUCGGAAUCCGACCCCUGUCAACCCUAACUCUUCACAUUCCCUUAUUCGGCGGCACCCAACCUCCCGCCGUCCCUAAACCCCGCCUCGAGUUCCUCAAUUCCAAGCCUCCCCCGAAUUAUGUCGCUGGGCUCGGCCGUGGUGCCACUGGCUUCACCACCAGGUCCGAUAUCGGGCCCGCACGUGCUGCGCCAGACCUGCCGGACAGGUCGGCCACCACAAUCGGCGGCGCUGCUGCUCCUGCUGCCCCGCCUGGGGUUGGCCGCGGACGCGGGAAGCCCGAGGAAGAGGAGGAGGACGAAGGGGAGGAUAAGGGGUACGAUGAGAAUCAGAAGUUUGAUGAAUUCGAAGGAAAUGAUGUUGGGUUGUUUGCAUCGGCGGAAUACGAUGAUGAGGACAAGGAGGCUGAUGCGGUGUGGGAAGCCAUUGAGCAAAGAAUGGACUCGAGGAGGAAGGACAGGAGAGAAGCUCGGUUGAAAGAAGAGAUUGAAAAGUACAGAGCUUCGAACCCGAAGAUCACGGAGCAAUUCGCGACUCUGAAGAGGAAGUUGUACACCGUGUCUGCUCAGGAAUGGGAGAGCAUACCUGAAAUCGGAGACUAUUCGUCGAGGAACAAGAAGAAGAGAUUCGAGAGCUUUGUGCCGGUGCCCGAUACACUUUUAGAGAAGGCAAGACAGGAAAAGGAGCAUGUUACGGCAUUGGACCCCAAGAGUAGGGGAGCUGGUGGUAUGGAGACUCCAUGGUCUCAAACUCCGGUUACGGAUUUGACUGCUGUAGGUGAGGGUAGAGGUACUGUUUUGUCAUUAAAAUUAGAUAGGCUUUCUGAUUCUGUUUCUGGAUUGACGGUUGUGGACCCGAAAGGGUACCUUACUGAUCUUAAGAGUAUGAAGAUUACUAGUGAUGCUGAGAUUUCGGAUAUUAAAAAGGCUAGGUUGUUGCUUAAGAGUGUUACACAGACGAAUCCAAAGCACCCACCUGGAUGGAUUGCGGCUGCCAGGCUGGAGGAGGUGGCUGGGAAGAUUCAGGCAGCUAGACAAUUGAUUCAGAAAGGGUGUGAGGAAUGUCCUAAGAGUGAGGAUGUGUGGUUAGAGGCAUGUAGGCUUUCAAGCCCUGAUGAAGCUAAGGCCGUGAUUUCUAAGGGAGUGAAGUCGAUUCCCAAUUCGGUGAAGUUGUGGAUGCAGGCUGCGAAAUUGGAGCGUGACGAUUUGAAUAGGAGCAGGGUAUUGAGGAAAGGUUUGGAACACAUUCCCGAUUCUGUUAGGUUAUGGAAGGCGGUGGUGGAGCUUGCCAAUGAGGAGGAUGCGAGACUUUUGCUUCAUAGGGCUGUGGAGUGUUGUCCCUUGCACAUUGAGUUAUGGCUUGCACUUGCAAGAUUGGAAACUUAUGAGAAUGCAAGGAAGGUCCUUAAUAGGGCAAGAGAGAAGCUAUCAAAAGAGCCUGCCAUUUGGAUCACAGCAGCGAAGUUGGAGGAAGCUAAUGGGAACACAGCCAUGGUUGGGAAGAUUAUUGAAAGGGGUAUAAGGGCUUUGCAAAGAGAAGGGUUGGCGAUUGAUAGAGAGGCAUGGAUGAAGGAGGCUGAAGCUGCUGAACGUGCAGGGUCUGUUGCAACUUGCCAAGCAAUCAUUCGGAACACGAUUGGGAUUGGUGUGGAGGAAGAGGAUAGGAAGAGGACAUGGGUUGCUGAUGCUGAGGAAUGCAAGAAAAGGGGUUCCAUUGAAACAGCCAGGGCCAUUUAUGCACACGCACUUACUGUCUUUUUAACCAAGAAGAGCAUAUGGCUCAAAGCUGCACAGCUUGAAAAGAGCCAUGGUACUAGGGAAUCUCUUGAUGCUUUACUUCGUAAAGCGGUGACUUACCGACCACAGGCUGAAGUCUUGUGGCUUAUGGGAGCUAAGGAGAAGUGGCUUGCUGGGGAUGUGCCUGCUGCUCGUGCCAUCCUUCAAGAAGCUUAUGCUGCCAUUCCUAAUUCUGAGGAAAUUUGGCUUGCUGCGUUUAAACUUGAAUUUGAGAACCAUGAACCAGAGAGAGCCAGAAUGCUUCUUGCCAAAGCCCGAGAAAAGGGAGGUACUGAAAGAGUGUGGAUGAAAUCAGCAAUUGUUGAGAGAGAAUUAGGGAACAUUAAUGAGGAGAGGAAGUUGCUUGAUGAUGGGUUGAAGCGCUUCCCUUCCUUCUAUAAAUUAUGGUUGAUGCUUGGACAGCUAGAGGAACGCCUUGGUCAUUUGGAAAAGGCCAAGGAGGCCUAUGAUUCAGGUCAGAAGCACUGCUCCAGUUCUAUUCCACUGUGGCUUUCUCUUGCUAAUCUUGAAGAGAAGAUGAGUGGGCUGAGUAAAGCUCGUGCAAUUCUGACGAUGGCCAGGAAGAAGAAUCCUCAGAACCCUGAAUUGUGGCUUGCUGCUGUUCGAGCUGAAUUAAGGCAUGGAAAUAAGAAGGAAGCUGAUAUCUUGAUGGCAAAGGCUUUGCAGGAGUGUCCCAAUAGUGGUAUCUUGUGGGCUGCGUCUAUUGAGAUGGUACCCCGUCCGCAACGGAAGACAAAGAGUAUGGAUGCCCUCAAGAAAUGUGAUCAUGAUCCCCAUGUCAUUGCUGCUGUGUCUAAGUUAUUUUGGCAUGACAGGAAGGUUGACAAAGCUAGGACUUGGCUUAACAGGGCAGUGACACUAGCGCCAGAUAUUGGGGAUUUCUGGGCUUUGUACUACAAAUUUGAACUUCAACAUGGGACCGAGGAGAACCAGAAAGAUGUACUUAAAAGAUGCAUAGCUGCAGAACCAAAGCAUGGUGAAAAAUGGCAACCUAUUUCAAAGGCCGUGGAGAACUCCCACCAACCAACCGAAGCUAUCUUGAAGAAAGUGGUGGUUGCUCUUGGGAAGGAAGAGAGUGCAGCUGAAAAUAAUAAACAGUAGUUCAAGCUGUUCUGUUCCAGGUUCUGCUUUUAAAAACUUGUAAUACAGAAAAAAAUUCGCUGAUGAAGCAUACAUCGCAUUAAUUGUAGCUUUGCUCCUUUUAUUGAUUUGUAUAGCAUGAAUUCUCAGUAUCAACAAUGAUGAAGCAUGUCUUUAUUUAUUGUUCGAAUUACGAUGGCAUGUGUCAACUUAUCUUUAUUUAUUGUUUGAAUUACGAUGGUUGUGUGUUUUUCUUCCUUUGUAUGGUCAGGUUCUGUUGUAGAUUCUUUUGAAAUCUGAGUGUGCUUGAUGCUCUAGCUUUCUCAAACACUUUCCUUGUUUCAAUUCACGUAUUGUAGGUUGUGUUGCAGUUUUUGUUAUGACUACUGCAGCUCACAUGGUUACCCCUGUGAUUGUAUCCAAUGGUGUCAGGCUGUGUUUUGUCUUAUCGUCAUUUUCCCUUCUUUUGCUAGUUUAUCUUGAAUCUUCUUGUGAAUUGAUUGAGUUAAACCUUGUAAUCCAAGAUUCAGUUAAUACUCUGCUUCUUAGGUUCCCUACCAGAAUUUUGCAUGCGAAUUGAACACUUGCUUGUAAGAAUGUAUUUCUUGUAUUAGAUCACCUUGUUAUUUAACCUGGAUAUGGCAAUGAAAUGAAUGACUAUAUCUAGUGCUACUUUUCUUUCUGUAUUACUGCCGUGGCAAUCAACAGGAGCUUCUUCUGUUGUAACGGGAAAUAACGGUCUUAGAUUUACUGAGGUCUGCUAUCAUAUCAGAAGCAUUUUCUAUCAUGUUUCUCUUUGUUUGGUUUUUGGUUUGAGUUUAUAGAAGCGAGUUCCCUGUUCCUUUUGGUAUGGAUUUUCUUAAAGGUUAAACUAAGGCCUUCCAUUGUGUUUUGCAGGUCGCUCCUCCCCCUUUCCCCCCUCGCACACGAUUCAGAUGUAUGCCAAGUGAACUAUAUGGUACCAAAUUUCUCAUUCCAAAUCAUGACAUGUCUGUAGGUACUUUCUUAAGUUAAUGAAAUCUGGUUGGCUUUUAUGUGAGUCGGGAUCCAACAGACAAUCUCAUCGGCAGCCAACUCAGUCUCAUUGUCUGUCUUUCCAAUACAAUUCUUCCGAUCAGACUAGGGGGUAUCGAAGAGGACUGGAACGAGUAGGAGUAUGUACAAUGAAAGAGGCCUCAUCGACCUGUGAGAUUGAUGAUUGACAACGUGCAUUUGUACGAGUAUGAAGGGCUUCAAGCAAUAGGUUAGUGAUAUUUUAAACAUUGUCGAGGAAACGAAGAUUUCUUGGGAAUUUUUCUGAGGUCAAAGGAAAUGGAGAAGAACAAUUUUUUCCCUCUGCAAAUCUGUUUAUACCCGAUCUUGCACUAUCGGUAAAUAUGUUUGGAGUCGUUUGAUUAAAAGAGUAUAUUAUUGGCUGGGCCUGAAACUCCGAUUUCGGCCGAGUUGGUAGAAGUUAGUCUAGAAAGGAGGCUGUGAGUCUCGGCCCAGUAAUGCAUUGGUGGUGGCGCGACCGAGUCUUAGACGAGGUAGGAUUGGUCAAGGAUCAGGAUUGGCUUCUGCCGAGAUUUGAAUGAGCUGCUAAAGGAUCAUGAUUGGUUUCUAACUAAAAUGUGAAUCAGUCGCAUANNNNNNNNNNNNNNNNNNNNNNNNNNNNNNNNNNNNNNNNNNNNNNNNNNNNNNNNNNNNNNNNNNNNNNNNNNNNNNNNNNNNNNNNNNNNNNNNNNNNNNNNNNNNNNNNNNNNNNNNNNNNNNNNNNNNNNNNNNNNNNNNNNNNNNNNNNNNNNNNNNNNNNNNNNNNNNNNNNNNNNNNNNNNNNNNNNNNNNNNNNNNNNNNNNNNNNNNNNNNNNNNNNNNNNNNNNNNNNNNNNNNNNNNNNNNNNNNNNNNNNNNNNNNNNNNNNNNNNNNNNNNNNNNNNNNNNNNNNNNNNNNNNNNNNNNNNNNNNNNNNNNNNNNNNNNNNNNNNNNNNNNNNNNNNNNNNNNNNNNNNNNNNNNNNNNNNNNNNNNNNNNNNNNNNNNNNNNNNNNNNNNNNNNNNNNNNNNNNNNNNNNNNNNNNNNNNNNNNNNNNNNNNNNNNNNNNNNNNNNNNNNNNNNNNNNNNNNNNNNNNNNNNNNNNNNNNNNNNNNCCUUAAGGGGGUUGUGGCUGCUAACAAAGAGGAUCGUCUGCGGAAAGCAAUGGAAGCUCAGGAAAUUAUCACUGAAAAGUCAAAACAAAUUGAAGCUUGGAGGGAUUCUUUGGAGACGGCUAUAAACUCAUUGGCGCAUGCUCCAUCUCCGUCGUCUUCCGUCCACCUCCCUCUCCAACUACGACAAGCUCAUGGCGGUCAACGUCCGCGGGAUGGCGGCGUGAGAGGGAACAUCAUGUGCACGGCGAGCGUGGCAUCGAGUGUUGGGGCAGGGCGUUCUUCACGGAGCUGCACCGACAGGGCCUCGCUCUUCCAUGGCCGCCCACGCAAUCCUCCGCAGCCACAAAGCCACCAUCUUCAUCCACCAGGCUCCUCCCUGCUCUCUCCAUCCCUUGCUGGGUAUAGCUGCUGCCUUCAUCUCCUCACUGCUCGAUAUGCUUGAAGUCGGGGAGGCAGCGUCAAAGACAUCGGCACCACCAAUGAUCUCGUCUGCGACAAGCUAGGUGCCUCGGCGAUAGCCUUGAAGCCUCGCUCCUCGCCGUGCAUUCUUUCGGUUCCAAACCUUCGUCCCCGUCAAACGCUGUCACUUCUGAAGGUUCCGACGGUGAUGGUGCCACCAAAGGCUCUGUCUCUUUCACUGCAGCUGCAACUUCACUUGACGAUUUAAAAUGUGACUUUGGGAGUUGGAUACUGUCUUCCUCCGCCAUAGCUGCUCCUUCUGCUCACCCUUCCCCUGCAAAUCGAAUUUCAAUAAAAAAAAAAGAAAAAAGAAAAAUGAUGCAUGUCGAUCCAGUAGUGCAGCGGACGGCGAGAGUGCAACGGAGCGUAGCAAGGCAGCCUCCUUUGCAGUAGACAGCCACAACCUCACUGGUGCAUGCUCCAUCUCCGUCGUCUUCAUUCUUGCUCCGCUUCCUGCAAAUUCCCCAGCCCAUCAUCAAAAUUUAUACAAAAAAAAAAUAUAAUAAAAAAAAAAAGGUGGUGGAGCAAAGCAAAGUGGUGCUGUCACCACGUGAAAAAAAAAGAAGGGGGUGCAUCAGGCACCAUGUGCAAAGAAAAAAAUAAAAAAAUAAAAAAAAAGAAUAAAAGAAUAAAAGAAUAAAAGAAUAUAUAUAUAUAUAUAUAUAUAUAUAAAUAAUUAUAAAGUGUUUUGGGUGCCUGGAUCAACACCAUUUUGAAAAAAAAAUAUGUAUAUAAAAAUGUUUAAACUUUGGUGUGUCUGGCACCAUGUGAAAAAGUGGGGUGCACCAUGAUUAAAAGCAAUAUAUAUAUAUAUAUAUAUAUAUAUAUAUAUAUAAAUAAAAUAAUAAAAUAAUUUAAAAUUAAAAAAUGUUUUAUCUUUGGUGCGUCUGGCACCAUGAUUAAAAAAAAAUUCAUUUUAUUUAUUUUUUCUGGAAAUUUUACAUAAUUUUGCAUUAUACAUACAUAUGAAGAAAAAAAAAGUCAAAUCAAAAUUACAAGAGGGGAUCUUCAAGGACGAUUAGGUGGCGCCUCACAACUCGGUGGAGCUCUAGGAAGAGUAGGUGCCGGAGGUUGACUGUUUGAAGCCUCAGCAGUCGGCAGAGCCUCAGAAGACGAAGGCAAAUGCUGCUGGAACAAACCCACAAACCUCUGAUGAUCAAGUAAAAUCUGACCCAUCAGAUUCCUGCAUUUGGUCAAUCUUCCUCUUCAUGUUUGUCGCAUAGCUAUGUGCGAGCUUAUGCAACUGUUUGUUCUCCUGCUUGAGCCCUCUAAUCUCCUGUUUGAGACUCAUCACUUCAGCCGCCAAUGAUUCAACUUGACGGGUUCGAGCAAAUAGGCGUUGGGCCAUAUUAGACACAGAACCUGCACACUGCACACUGAGAGCCAGAGAAUCCUUAACAGCCAACUCAUCAGACCGUUUGGAAAGUAGUCUGUUAUCUCUGGGAGUGACAAGGUUCCGGGCCACCACCGCAGCGGUCAUAUCAUUCUUCACCACUGAAUCCCCAACGGUAAGAGGACCAGUGGGGGAAAUGAAGGAUGGGCGCCAUAUGUUGUCUGGAGAAGAAGGGACUGCCUCUUUACCAAGAUUCAAGUCAAAACGACGAUCGGAGGGGCCAAACAUUUUCAAAGGUGUUAAAGAAAGAAGAGGUCGGACAAAUCGAGAAUCUUAGAAGUGUAAGAAGGUACAAGCAAAAAAUUCAAGUGUGCUUUGAAAUGAACUGCCUGCCUCUAUAAAAAAAAUCAGCACUCGACGGGAUUUCAGAGAUCGAAGAGGCGAGCUCAGAAUUCGAAGAGGCCAUUCAAAAAAUCGAAGAGGCAAGCUCAGAAAUCGGAGAAGCAUCUUGCUUUUCCAGACGCGUCGGCACCCGUCACACGCAAACUCAGCUUUGCGGAAAUCACGGGUAAUUUGUCGAAGCGCCGAUCCCAGAUAUCGAAGAGGCGCCAGUCUUUUUCAGCCGCGUCAUCACCUUGUCAUAUGCACACUCAACUUUGCGCAAAUCACGGGCAAUUUGUCGAAGAUUUUCGGUGAAGGAGAAAAGCACGUGAAAGUUUACUGUUCAAUCACGCGUUAGUUGCCGACACAAGUGAAAGAAUAGUACAUCUACAGGUAUUAAGGGACCUCCUAUAACUGUCCACCUUCACCUUCCAUGGCAAGGCAGACAUACAGAACCUUUCUUCAUCUCCGAGAAUGCCUUCCCAACGAAGCCUCUCGAGUCACUUAGUGUUCCUUAUUCCUUGGGGUACCUCUGUAAGCCAAUAACUUCAAAGCAAAAGUAUCUCAUAUCACCAGGGUAGAAAGCAAGAGUAUCUCAUAUCAUGCGUUCUCCCUGUCGUUUCCUUUGUCCUUGCUCCUACCUACAAAGACAAGGAUAAAGAAAACAAUAUGCCGGAAACUUCCACUCAAACUCGGGUAAGGGAACCGACUGCUUGGAACCCUUCCCUGAUUGCCUGCCUAGCACUGCUCUCGAGUACUCGUCUCCCACUGCUGCUGUACUUCCAUAGAAGCUGUCACAUCUGCCUGGAGAACAGAUAAGGCAAGUGAAAAUGAUACCUUGCAGCAUGUGGAGACAACGUGCUGAAGAAACAAGCAGAGAAGAAUGCGGCAUGCACAGUCAACUCAGCAGAAGGAGUCCGAACUGAGGAACUCGAGAGAAGAUGUCGUAUCUGCCUGAGAACAUAUAAAGGAAAUGAAAAUGAUACCUUGAAGCAUGUGGAGACAAGUGCAACCAAGCACGUGCUGAUUCAUCCGCUACUUCGUUAAAAUCAAAAGUAUCUCAUAUCAUCAUGGUGCAAUCACUUUGGACGGUGAACUCGUUUUGACCCUCAAAUUCUUGGGUCGACUUACUAGGCGUUGUGGGCUGCACGUGCCGAUUCACCACCCUUGAAUCAAAACCUUAAAGAUCAAGUCACCAACUGGAAGAAUAACCCGUCAAUCUUGAAGAUCAUACCGUUGACCAAACUGCUUUGGUGUGAAUUAGAAAGAUUGAACAAAGCAACAAGUCGUCACCUUCACCUCGUGCCCGCUUGCCAUGUGUUCAAGUCAACCUUCAAGAAUCAAGCCCCAACGGCCCUUGAAGAAGCUUCCAGCCAAAUUCAAAAUCAAGCCUCGACGGCCCUGGAAGAAAUCACAAGUCCGAUUCAAGAUCAAGUGUCUACCACUCUUGAAUCAAAACCUAGUUCAAGAAUAAGCUGUGGAAAAUCAACAAUUGGAGGAAUCCAGAAAAUCCUCCAACCCAGUUCAAGAUCAAAGCUGUGGAAAGUCAACAAGCGCAACAAAAUACGUGCCGAUUCACCCACCACUAAAGCCAAAGAUCAUCUACCACAUGAAGCUCCUUGUGGCCCAAUUUCAACCUUCAAGAUCAAGCUCGAUGGCCCUUGAAGAAAUUUCAAACGAAAGUUCAAGAACAAGCCUCAACGGCCCUUGAAGAAAUCUCAAGCCCAAUUCAAGAUCAAGCCUCAACGGCCCUUGAAGAAAUCUCCAGCGCCACACUGCGAGAGAUUAGAGGCCGGCACGACGACGGCCGGGAGAGUCCCCAGCAAUACGUAAAGAGCAGAGGGAGGGGAGCAUUCAAAGACGCAGGCUACCUACAAGCGUCGGAGGUCACGAUACUAUGAGUAAAUCAGAAGUGUGAACUGGUAGCACUUCAAGAUAGGGGGAGUAAUUGAUUGUAAUACUAGCGGAAAUUUCGGUAAAGAUAUAAUGUAUGAUCUGCGCACAUCGCGGAAAUACUCGAUAGAUGAGGAAAAGGAGAGGUAGCUCGAUAGCGGGGCGAUAAGACCAUUGAAGGUCAAGAAUGGACUCGAGAGGAAGGACAGGGAGAGAAGCCUCGGUUGAAUAAGAAGAGGAACUUAGAAAAGUAAACAUUGUACUUCCAGUAAGACGUCCCGGAGAGAUCAACUCAGACAAAAAAAUAUCACUUGAAGAUGCAUUGCUGAAAAAGGAGAUGCUCUGUAAUCAAUCACGGAGUCACGUGUGUUCCUAACACACCUGGCAGAAAUAACGGGCUUAUAAUGUCUCAUAGCUCGGAAUAAUAUAUCAUGGUAGCGACAUAUUUAGCGGAUCAGAGUAUUGGCUACUAAAGAGAAAGAGAUUCGAGAGACAGCUCGAAGUUAUAUGAUGUGGCGGGGGAAUACGCUCUGCAGGCUCCGAGAAACUCCUAGCACUUAUUAAGACACAGGCAAGACAGUGAAAAGGACGCCGAGCUGUCUCCGCAAGCAUCAGAAUUUGCCCGAGAACAAUGAAAGCCGUCCUCUCCAUCCCUCCCCCGUUCACCCCCCCAACGAUUACUUUGCUCCAAGAUCAAGCUCCCUGGAGCAGGGAACACCAUAUAAUAGGAUCAACAAUCCCACUCCCCACCUUCAAGAUCACAGCCCCGAGCGGCCCUUGAAGAAAGCCAGUAGAGUAGGUCGAGGUGGGUCUAUUGGAGACUCAUGCAGUCCUGUUCAACCUUACCGGUUACGGAAUUUGAUGCUGUAGGUAGGGUACCAUCGCAGAUACGGAUUAAGCCCAUACGGUCCUCUGUCAUUAAAAUUUUACAAGCAUACGCAUCAACUCAACCAUUCUGCAACGUUCCUCGAGAUUCUGGAUUGCGGUUCUUGUGGACCCGAAGGGUACUUACUCGAGAAAUCCAAGAAGACUCUUGAAAGAUACUAGCCUGAGAAGAUGAGAUUCCCCGUGAACAUCUACUCAGUUAACGUUGCCGCAUGAACGGAGAGCACCAAAAGGCCCUCGUAUCAGAUUUCGCUCGUUCAUAUAAGAAGUGUUACACAGACGAAUCCAAAGCACCCACCUGGAUGGAUUGCGGCUGCCAGGCUGGAGGAGGUGGCUGGGAAGAUUCAGGCAGCUAGACAAUUGAUUCAGAAAGGGUGUGAGGAAUGUCCUAAGAGUGAGGAUGUGUGGUUAGAGGCAUGUAGGCUUUCAAGCCCUGAUGAAGCUAAGGCCGUGAUUUCUAAGGGAGUGAAGUCGAUUCCCAAUUCGGUGAAGUUGUGGAUGCAGGCUGCGAAAUUGGAGCGUGACGAUUUGAAUAGGAGCAGGGUAUUGAGGAAAGGUUUGGAACACAUUCCCGAUUCUGUUAGGUUAUGGAAGGCGGUGGUGGAGCUUGCCAAUGAGGAGGAUGCGAGACUUUUGCUUCAUAGGGCUGUGGAGUGUUGUCCCUUGCACAUUGAGUAUUACGUGCUGAGCAAUCCUGAGAAUGUAGGAAAAUCUAUAAAUGAGUUAAGAGGAGAAAUGGAGAUAGAGCUCCUCUAAUCACGCGGCAAAAUGACGUCAAAGAAAUAACUAAAUUCAUUAGUGCUCUGUCUAUGUUGCACUAUCAGUCUAGUAUCGCUUAGAUGCUCUUUUGGUGUAUUGGAAGGCAAAUAUUUGGUAUACCGUAGUUCCAGAGCCCAGUUGUAAUGAGUGGUUGGUGGUAAAGAUCACAUAGAACUAGGGGUAUAUUUGAGGGUUUUUUAGCAUAGAGAUAGGGUAGCGCAUGUAGAGUAGGUACUAUAGGAUGAAGUGAAGGCUGAAGCUGUACUAGAAAACGUGACAGCAGGCGCUACAACGCUACACUAUGAGCUCAUGUACAUAUACAUUCAAUUAUUUCACGUGCUAUAUUAUAUAUAAAAAAUUGUAGUGAAUUGAGAUGGAGGAGAAGAAGAGGGCAUCUACAAAGUAGGAGCGAUUAGGAAGGUUUCUCGAUGUUUCAGAGAGAGGGAACAUCGAGACAAGAAAUAGGCCUAUGGGUUCCAGUUGAAACUAUUGCCAUGGUCGACAUUUAAAUCAAGCACACACCGCAACAAACAUUAUCUAAAAAGAUCUAAUCAAUGGAUCAAACCAAACUUGUGAAGAAGAACCCAUAUCAUUCUGACACUCAAAAAAACGUCUGCUAUUACAGAACAUCUCGGAAAAUAGAGACAUGGAGAAAAAAUAAAGGAAAAGAAGAAAUACUCUAUGAAUCGGACUAUUUAAAACUCGAGAUAAAAGCGGACGUUCACGAGUACAGACAACGUAGUGGGCUUAAGAGAAGAUUCUUGUGUAAGGCUUUAUGCGAGAGCUAAGGACGAAGUGCAGAGAAUAUAAGCACGUGAGGAGUAUUAAGUGGUCACUGCUGUUCAUAACGGGGCCAUAUGCAAGACUUUGCCAACAUAGAAAGAUCAUACAUAGUCGAAUCAACAAAUAAAUCACACGGAAUUAAACAUAGAAACUUGAAGAUUAAACAGAGAAGUAUAAGUAAAGCCGUGCAGAGAAAGUGAUACUUCAGUAAUAUGCAAAUAAGAAAAACCAUAAGAAAGACUAACAACACACGCCUUCAUAGUCCAAAGCCCGAGAAAAAGGGGCACGUUACUUACAGUUAGGUAAACGAUGUUGUCGCGCACUAGCAAAUAAGCCAAUUAUUAUGCAAGUUCUAAGACUUAAAAUUUUCGCGACCAAGAGAGUAAAACGAUUAAAUAGAGAAAGUAUAAUAUCGAUUAUGAUUAGAUGGGAAAAAAUGUAUGAAAUCGCUCGAGCUCAUAUAAUAUCUCAUAUACUGUCCACCCUCCACGUAGUUGUAGCACUUACCAAUAAUGGUUGAUGCUUGGACACUAGAGGAACGCCCUUGGUAUUUCAAAACGGCCAAGGAAAUAUCAGGUGAAGAUGAUAUAUUAUAUUAAUCCCCCACCCAUGUGGGUGCAAUAUCUAAUUUCGAUAUAGAAUUGACUUUGUCAUACGAAAGUGCAAUAUGAUGAUAGAUACUAUACAGAGAUAGUUUACCUCCACAGAUCCCUUUUUGUUUAAUUUCCGAAAUUUUCUCGGACCCACGUCACGCACUUAUUAGACAUCUUCCUGUCAAAAAAAGACCCUGAAUUCUGUGAUUGGUGCUUGCCUUACGCUUGUGUGCGGCCGCGAGAGUAUUAAGCAAAGGGCUCAUUGAGGAAUGGUAACUAAAGGAAGCUGGCAAUAAAUUCUCGAUUUACUUGGUCUUGGCACCGCGUGUCCCUUAGACAGGAUCUAUCACCAUAGUGGUGAUCUGUGGCUUGCGUCAUAUAAUGAGAUGGUCCAACCGUCCGCAACGAGACAGCACAAGAAAAGAGGGGGUAUAGGGUGGAGCUGCUACACAUCGAACGACAUGAUUGCAUGCGAUACUGCUACUGUACCUUAUUGCCUUCACCGGUCCGUGACCCGCACCGUCUAAUAUAUUCUCAGGUCUGACAGACCGAAAAGUUGACGGACAAACGCUAGGGUGACUUGGCGUUUAACCAGGUUGGGCACUGCACCCGCACUAGCGCGCCCAUCAUAUCGGGUUGUGUUUCUGAAGAUAGAGAUACACCUAAGACUAAAUCCCAUAGGAUACGGUCAAUCACUCAAUCCUAGAGGAAUGAAACCAGAGACGACUCUCAUAGUUUUGAAAACUUCGCGAGCUAUACGCAGACGAGCCAGUAAAGCAGCGGCUGACCAAAAUGACGAACGCCUCAUUUCGUCAUAGAGGCUACCGGUGGUAAGGAAAUGAUGACGCAAUCCAAAACCAACGAUAGCUAAAUCGGUCUGAACAGAAACACGAAUCGCUGCUCGGUAUGUCCGCUUGAGUAGAAGUAGGAGUGCAGACUGUAUAAUAUAUAUAAGAUAGAUCCAUAAUGCCAGUUCUCGCACAUAUCCUCAAGGAGUACAUAGCAUUUUUGUAAGUCCUGUUUUAAAAAUGCUUCGUAAAAUACAUUAUUAUAUAAAAAUUUCGUCAUUGUUAUUGUGUAGCAAUUACUUUUGCAUUUUGAACGUAAGUUCUAAUGGACUCCACUUCUCAUCUAAUUAGCACAUUUGUAUAGAGCAGAUGAUUUCUUAGUAUAUCGAUGCAUGAUAAAGUAGCAGGACUUCUAAUGCAUUUUUCUCUGCGUAUAAAAUUACGAUGCAAUAGUAUAUAGUUCAACUGUAUAUCUUUGUCAGUUUAUCUUAUUAUGAUUGAGGGAUCGGUGAUCGAAUGAUCUUCUAUACACUCACUCGAUGCUCUGUAUGACGCGUUCAGGAAGUACAGCUGCUAUGGAUCCAGUAUAUCACUAUAUUGAAAAGGCUUUGUAGAGCUUUGUAAAAAUUGUCUCUCCUCUUAGCUGCACCAACAUCAUUUGUUUACCUUUGGCCUAUUAUCAAAAAUUGAUACAGCGAAGCGAUUAUAUGUAGGUUGUUUGUGGACUGCAGUUAUAUUGAGUGUUGUUCAUUGUGUACUAAAUUCGAUACCCUUUCACAUUGGUUAACGUUGGGUUCAUCACUUUCUCGCUUAAAGAUUGUUCAUUGGUGAGAGUUUAGAUCGCGUACCUUCGUAUCGAUGGUUCUGUUGUUAAUUGACCAUGGUCUUAAAUGCAUAUAUACUGCAUGUCUUCAUUUAAUUUAGCACUAAGUUUAUAACAGUUGAGACUCUUCUCACCAGUAACCUUGUUGAGUUAAACACAUUUUAGGUAAGAGAGCACAUGAUGCUUCAGUUGGAGUCACCUUACUUGAGCACUUCUUAGGUUCCCUAACCAAGCACCGAGCUCUUCGGCCCAUGCGAGCGCACGUGAGCCUCUAUGUCUCUAAGCACAAUAUGUAUCUUACUAUGAUAAUGAGAGCAACGCAUUGAAUAUUCCCUUUAUUCCUGAUAUAAGAAGGGAGUAACACUACCUCAACAUCUAGAUGCUUUAGCACUUGUUAGCUAUUUCUGUAUUAACGCCGUAGAACAUCAGACCAACUAGAAUUCACAUUUCUUGUCAUGUUUUGUGAGACGAGCAGAAUCAACGGUCUUACAGAGUUUAUUUACUCUGAGGUAUCAGCAAAAUCGAGUGAACUCAGCCACAGUCCACUACUCUAACUAUACAUCUGGUAACAGUCUUUGUUUGUAGCCAUUUAUCAGAGGUGUCAUAAUGUUAAUAUCAAGAAGGAGCUACACGCAAUGGCUUCCCAUACUUUGGUACUGAGAGCAUUUUCUUUGAAAGGUUGUCUAGAUAUAUAUGAGAGCCUUCGAGUUGGUGAAUUUUUUUGUCAAGGUACGUGCAUCGCCUCCCCACUCGCCCCCCUUCGACAUCACGAUUCAGAUGUAUGCCAAGUGAAAUCGAGCAUAUAAUGGUGAAUAGUUACUAAUAUAAACUCAUUUCCAAAUCAUGACAUCUGGCUCCUGUCAAGGUAACAAUUGCACUAAAUAGAAAUUUUCGAUGUUGGUUCCCUUCUUAUGAGCCAAAAGACUAUCGACGUCGGGAGAUACUGCACAGGACAAUAGCGAGACUCGGCAGCUGUAAUCUAUCAGUCUCAUAGUCUGUCUUUCAAUAAAUAAUUUAGGGCCAAUUGCUCUUAUUGUAUAAGACCCUCGGUAUGAAAAGUAUCCGAAAGAGCGGACUGACUGAUAAGUAUGAAAGUUAUUGUAUAUACAAUAUAGAAAGAGAGGCGCGUCAAAUAUGUAGCUCUAGAGAGAUGAUAUGGGAUGAUUAGAGUAGAGAGCCACUGUAGCUAUAUAUUGUAACGAGAUAGGAGAGGCGUCCUCCAAGAGCACAUAGGUUUUAGCUAACUAUAUAACAUUAGAGUCCCUGACGGUACAUCUACCGAAAGCAUAUUCUAGUCUGGCCAAACUACUCUCUUUCUGAGGUCAAAGAAAUUACAUCUACCAAUUAGAAAUCAAUUUACAAUCUUCAGUUUGCAAGCUCUGGGAUUCUAGUACCCGAAUAUCUUCGCUCAACAUAAAUCUUGAGAGAGGUAUGGUUGUAGAGCAGCUACGUCGAUAUAUGAUUAAAUAGAGUAGAGCUUUUAUUUAACUAGGUUCUUGCAGAUUCCACAGAUCGGGACUUGUUGGUUACGUGGAUACUCCACAGCGAGUAAUUUCGCGCUUGGAGUGUGUAUAGAUAGUUAAAGUCAAACAAGAGAUAGAUUGACCUAAGUUUGAUGGUUACACCUCAUCGAGCCAGUAAUAAUUAAGCAAGUUGCCGUAUGUAUAUUUAAUAGGCGCGACACACGCACACACAUUAAAGAAGAGAAGUCGCGUAUAAUAAGCGAAUGGAAGUAAGAUUGGACAUUAAUCGAGGAUGAAAUCUGUGUGGACUUCUGCGAUGAUGAAAAAUAGAUGUUCCGAUCUUCGUAGCGCUGCUAGUAAGGAUACGACUGAAUUGGUUUCUAUUGAAUGAGAUGUGAAUAGAAAAUCGCAUAAUAUGAAAAGGAGAACGAGUUAUACCGGAGAAGUUCCUGAUAGCUAAAACUAUGAGUCGGAAGAAGGUAGAUCAAGAGAUAUGCGGUCAAAGCUCAAACAUUACUAAGCGAGAGAUAAUUCGUGAGUCAUAUCCCUGUUCUUCGCGAGUAUUCGUAACCAUUUCCUCGUUAUUAAGACUAUCUUACUACUUAACAGAGAGAAGUACAUCGUGUACCAUAUCUUAUGGAUCAAAAUCAUAAAGAGAAAAAAUUAAGAUACAUGUGUGCUGAAUACAUUACGACUCAAUCAAUCGGUACAUAACACUCUCUCACGAUUAUUUUAAGAAUAAUAUUAAACUUUUGCUCACCGAUCGUGCAGCGCUAAGAGCACAGUCACAGGAUUAGGUAAUCAAGUUUUUGAGCCUUCAACCACAAUAUAUAUUGAGCACUCUGGACAGUCUCACCAUGCACAGACUAUUUAUCAAUGAUGAGUUGGUUACUAUAAACUAAGAGAAUUACAGAAGGCAACCGGCAAAUGUGACGUUUGGUCAAACAACACUAGAGUCGUAAAAUCGGCUUGGCUAAGGAGUUUUGACAGUUUGGUUAAAUAGUAGGUUCUCUUUUUUCAACUAGUUAUUGACUCAAGUCUCUGCCGGCGAUUCUUCAUGGAACAAGGUCAUUUCAUCAAUUUUCUUGGUGAAGUGAGCUAUUACCAAGUUACAUUUAUGUCCAAUACUUAGACGGUGGAAUCAUUUUUGGAUUUCACAGAAAAAUCAUAACCUUCUUUUAGGUUUUAGAACUAAGGCCAAGAGUGUUUCUUUCUCGGGCAAAAUUGCCUCAUUCAAAAGUUAGAAGUGCAUUAUAUCACACGAUCAUAUUUAGAAGUACUCACUCGAACUCGGUAGCAAAUUGGCAAGGCCAUAAUCAGUAGAAGAACGUAGUUAGCUCAUAAGCAAAGUCUAAAAUAUCGAUAUUAUCUUAAUAUUUCUAUCGAAAUUUCCGUAUUUUUGGACUACCGAUAUCAUCGAUAUUUUAGACCUUGAUAGGAACAGUAUGUGGUACUAAGUCACUCAUGUAUCUUACCAUGCAAUGUAUAAAGUGUAAAAAAUUGUACUAAUUUAUUAUAUAUAAGUAAUUAUGGUGUGUUUAAACUUAUUUCAUUAAUUAUUACAUAUUUUCUACACUCACAAUAUUUGUCAGCUCACUAUAUAACCAAUUUAAAUCAGUUAAAUCCAUCAUGCAAUGCAUUUCCUUCCAAAUUUUUGUGAUAAAUUAAUAGAUAAUUAACUAAAUAAACAUCCUGCAAAGUUUCAAUAAAAAUUUCCAAGUUUUUCUUACAAUUUCCAUGGUUUUUACUCAAUUUUUAUCGAUAUCGAUAAUAUCUCGAUAUUUCCAUCGAAAUUUCUGUGUUUUUGGAUUACCGAUAUUUCCGAUAUUAUCGAUAUUUUAUACCUUGCUCAUAAGUUACUUGGUCUGCGCAACACAGACUUUGUAAUUUUAGGGUCAACAUUUUGGAACGCCCAAUGGAACAUAAUUGCUAAAAAUUGCGAAGUUUAAAUGACGUUUCCAUAUUCUAGUUCAUCUGAUUGGACGAGAUCUAAGCAGAUCUAAGCUCAAUGGGAGAGACACAUUCAAAAGAGUGAGGAGAACAAAAGGGGAAGGAAAGUGAGGAAGACUCUUGAUGCACAUGAAGAGAUGAGAGCUUCCGUCACCUUCUAAGAACAAUAGAUAAAAAACAGACAGUGACCAUUUCAAUACAUGGUUACUUGAGAAGGGUUAGUUGAGAAACACUUUCCUUAUGUUCUUCCAUUAUUGUUUUUUUUUUUUGAACUCUUUGUUGGAAUUUUCAAGAGGGUUUUUGUCUUAAUUCAGUUCUUUCUCGAUGUUGAUAUUUCAGCUCAAACCUACUAGGUGAAAAUAAUUAGGAUCUUCCAAAAGAAUUUGGUGAAGUACUAAACUUUGGAAUAAAAAAGUUUUUGAUACACUCUCGGGUUACGCACACAAAUUACCUAAUCCAGCUUCUAGGGGUAAUGCUAAAACUGAAUUAGUUUAAAAUUUUCGUUUCCGUAGCAUUAUUCCCUAAUCCAAUUCAAAACUUUAGUUGAUCAAAUCACCUUCCAUGCGCGGCCGAUUAAAACUAAUCUCAAUUAACAACAUAAUCAUCAUUAUCUUGUAGCAGCCCUCCUCUGGUGGUGACAUAAUUAAAUUAAAAUAUUGGGGUUACGGCUGAAUGAAAGUGUUUGUUGGCUUCACCACUAUUUGAGAUAUUUUGAAUUCAUUUAUUAAUUUAAUAACGUCAACCUAAAACACUUGAUAAGUUCGAUUAGGGAAAUUGGCAUAUGGUUUGUAAUUAUAUCAUGUUCCUUAAUCCUUGUCGCUACUUGAGUGAUAUCAUGGGACGGCGACCGGUCCCACCUCGCUCAUCAUUCAGUCUUAUCACUCCUCUUAGCACGUUGAUCAAAACAAUUAAUGUCCAAAGUGUUCUUCUUUUCUAAAUUUUUUUUUAUUUUUAUGUAGGGAAUUCGCUACUAACUCAUUUAACUUCUUCCACAACUUUAUUCAAUCAUUUCUUAUUGUUUUUAUUAGAACAUUUUUAAAUGAGAUGUCAAAAAUUAUACACAAAUUGUUUUAACAAAGAUAUUUUUUUUGGUGUUCUAAAGAAAAUGUCAAAAUCUUACGAGAUUUGACAUUCUUUACUUUACUGCUAAAUUUGAAAGCAAUGUCAAAAUAUAUUUUGCUUACAUGAAUUGUCAUUCGAAUUACAAAUCCCUAAAAAGCCAUUUACAUGUUUUGAGAUAUGAUAUACAUCUUGGUCCUUAAAUCGUUCAUCAAGGAUUCAAUAAGAAGGUUCAACGACUAAAAAUUCUAGUGCGUAGGACAUUCCAGGACGUGUUAAAAUUUCAAUGGCUAAAAGCUGCAAGCGGAAAGUUACAAAUAUAUGAGAAACAAGUGAGUUGUGACGGUGAUUGGAUGACCACCGUGCAGCUGCUGACUUGGUCUUUUUGUUCAUUGUGCUUAGAAAUGGAGGAGAAAAGCCAAAAGUAGUUGUUUGUUUUGGGUAGAAAAAGGGUCUCUGCAACAUAAGUGUCACCCCGUCUUGUCCAGCAACUAAUUGAAAAAAAUCUGGGUGGAAAUUUUCUCAAAGUGCGUAAAAAAAAUCGUAAGAUAUUCACGUGAUUUGAACUUUACAUUUUGUCUUUCUUUCUAUAAAAAAAUUGACAUAAUAUAUUGACGUGAUCUAAUAGUGAUUGUUGAAAUAAGAGGAAAGGCAAAAAACAGAAGAGAGAAUCAUACUCCGUCUCGAUGAGUAACUGCCCAUAUUGCCAUUGGUUAUUUGGAGAAGAAGAAAAAUCAUACAUUAUAAAUAGUAUCAUAAACUGAAUUUUACGUCGUACUAUACAUACAAAAUUUUAAACUAGUGUUGAUAGAAGAUAAAUUAAUAAGGAACCGUUUGAUAAUCAUUUCAUUUUUUAUUUUUUAGUUUUAGCUUCAACUUAUUUGAAAUCUGAAAAUUGAAAUUUUGUUUGGUAAUUACCUUUAAUUUCAUUUUUCAAAAAAUGAAAACUAAAAACUAAAAAUGAGAUUAUUAUGAAACGCCCUAAACUAUCGCAAGAGGUAACUUCCCACAUCGUCCAGGGAUGAGGAUCAUGUAAGCCUUAUAUGUAUAUUCUCAUCUCUACCUAGCACGAGGCAUUUUGGAAGCUCACUGGCUUCGGAUUCCGUAGGAACUCCGAAGUUAAGUGAGUUCGGACGAGAGCAUUCUUAAGAUAGGUGAUCUACUGGGAAGUUCUCGUGUGAGUUCCCAGAAACAAAACCGUGAGGGCGUGACCGGGGCCCAAAGCGGAACAAUAUCGUGCUACGGCAUAGUUGAGCCUAGGAUGUGAUGGAGCCUGGGUCGGAAUGUGACACAAGAACCAUCAAUGUCUUGAUUCACAAUAUUAAUCGGCUCUCAUAUUUACUCUGCGAACCUAUCAUUCAUAGUCUUAAUUCAACUACAAUUUUACUCCUUUAUUUUAUUUUAUUUUGUUGAGGAAAAUCAUGAAUAAGCAGUAGAAAAGAAACUGAAGGCUCGCACACAAUCAUAAUGCAUAAAAGAGAGUACUAGUCUUUGUACAAACACAGCUACAAAUACAUAAUAUGACAAUAGAAAUAGAUGACCAACUCCAAAAUGUACAAAUAAUAUUGAUAAUUUGGCUUUUCCAUUCCAGGAGCUGAAAAACGAGAGCUCGUGAUGGUCGGACUGCUUGAGAAGGAGAUCACAAAACCGUCUCCCUCUACAGCGGUCAUGCCUUAAGAUAAAAACUGGAAACUAAAAACAUGCUCGUGAACAUUACACAGCAGUGACUUUUCCUAACUACACAUACUAUUAUUUACUUUACAAGACAUUGGCUAUAAUUCCACUUUCUGGCAACAAAAACUAAGGCAUGGCCCAACAAAAAGCAUGAACCAGAUUGUGCCACUGCUUAAAGGCCUGAAAAAACAAGCAGCCUUUGUGCAGCAGAUUGGCCUGAAAUUUGAAGCUUCAAGGAUCCCUUGUAAUAAAAACUCACAAGGCUUCUAGGAUCAUAGGUUGUUUUCCGAAACAUUGCAACCGGCUGUGAUGACAAAUUAGAGAGGGGGGAGGGAGAGGAGGGAGAGGAGGGAGAGGAGGGAGAAGGGGGAGGGAGAGGAUGGGGUGGUGGUGUGUGUGUGUGUGAUGACAAAUUAGAGAGGGGGGGAGGGAGAGGAGGGAGAGGAGAGAGAGGAG
Molecule: long non-coding RNA, 33341 nt
Filed under: Malus domestica (apple)
Lineage: Eukaryota; Viridiplantae; Streptophyta; Magnoliopsida; Rosales; Rosaceae
Source: RNAcentral